Molecule: ribosomal RNA, 253 nt
Filed under: uncultured bacterium
Lineage: Bacteria
Description: partial 16S ribosomal RNA
Rfam family: Bacterial small subunit ribosomal RNA
Source: RNAcentral
UACAGAGGUCUCAAGCGUUGUUCGGAUUCAUUGGGCGUAAAGGGUGCGUAGGUGGCGCCAUAAGUCGGGUGUGAAAUUUCGGAGCUUAACUCCGAAACUGCAUUCGAUACUGCCGUGCUUGAGGACUGGAGAGGAGACUGGAAUUUACGGUGUAGCGGUGAAAUGCGUAGAUAUCGUAAGGAAGACCAGUGGCGAAGGCGGGUCUCUGGACAGUUCCUGACGCUGAGGCACGAAGGCCAGGGGAGCAAACCGG